GAUGAACGCUGGCGGCGUGCCUAAUACAUGCAAGUCGAGCGAACAGACGAGGAGCUUGCUCCUCUGACGUUAGCGGCGGACGGGUGAGUAACACGUGGAUAACCUACCUAUAAGACUGGGAUAACUUCGGGAAACCGGAGCUAAUACCGGAUAAUAUAUUGAACCGCAUGGUUCAAUAGUGAAAGACGGUUUUGCUGUCACUUAUAGAUGGAUCCGCGCCGCAUUAGCUAGUUGGUAAAGUAACGGCUUACCAAGGCAACGAUGCGUAGCCGACCUGAGAGGGUGAUCGACCACACUGGAACUGAGACACGGUCAAGACUCCUACGGGAGGCAGCAGUAGGGAAUCUUCCGCAAUGGGCGAAAGCCUGACGGAGCAACGCCGCGUGAGUGAUGAAGGUCUUCGGAUCGUAAAACUCUGUUAUUAGGGAAGAACAAAUGUGUAAGUAACUAUGCACGUCUUGACGGUACCUAAUCAGAAAGCCACGGCUAACUACGUG
This 497-nucleotide ribosomal RNA is filed under the name uncultured bacterium. RNAcentral describes it as "partial 16S ribosomal RNA". It matches the Rfam family "Bacterial small subunit ribosomal RNA", at positions 28 to 507 of the family's 1533-position model. The record is from RNAcentral.